AAAACUCAAUUCAGAAUCUGAAGGAACGGGUCUUUUGAAAUAGAUUUUUUAUUCUUUUGUGUAUUGUGUAUCAAUGCCAAUUCAAAGUGAAAUUGUUAUGAAUUUUCUCAUUUUAGCUUUCCAACUUAGGUGAUUCCUCCCAGUUCUCACGAGGCCAAGUUCGUUAGUUUUCUUUUCUUUCUCUGUACGAAAAAUUACUCUUUUUCGCUCUCUUGUCCUUUCAAUUAUCAAUAUUAAUUCAUCAUGGAUAUCGACCCAGUUGCUGCGUUAUUGAAUGAAGUCGACGCUCAGAGCCUGGACCCUUUACCAGCGCACAGAAGAGACUUGUUGCGUACCUUAUGUAUUUACCUCAUGGCAAAAUUCGGGAACAGCACGGAAGAAGCGUUUCGCAAAAUAUGUUUAGAAUUAAUGAAGAAAGUAGUCAAUGCAAAAGUUGAUCCGGCGGUCAAUGUCAAGGUGGAGGAGUGCAAAAUUGAGGGUUCUGAGGAGGGUCCACAGGAUGCGCAUCAACUUUUACAAGCAAUAAAGGCAGAAAUAAAGGAGGAAGAAGACAAUUGAAAAUAUUUGCUGCCUGCUUGCCUGCGUACCUACGAGGGUGGAUUUUAAAGCAAUUUUACCAAGGGAACUCACUAAGUCAGCAUUAAAAUAUUUUCAGAUUUUUAGCAAGCCAUAGUUUUUUUAAAUUUGGUCCAAGCGUUGCAGAAAAAUCAUGAAUUUUCUAUACUCUUCUUCCAAUUUGCCCUUUUUUCAUGUGCUGCAGAACUUCACAGGAAAAUAAGUUGAAAUCUGGAUUAAAGAAAAUUUGAGUCCAUAUCAUAUUUAAUGAAGUCAGUAUUAUUUUAAAGUAUUUUACCUUACUUUUCGACGAUCUUACUCGUCAGUUCCUUGCAUUCUGCAUAUCGGUACAACAUACGAAUUCUGGUUUUGUAAAACUCUUUGUUCAUAUUCCUGAGAUGGAUGCUGAUGCAAAAUAUCACACCUGCAGUACUACUAAAACAUUUGUCUCCAAGAAAUUUCUUCAGUUCCUGAAAAAGCUGGAGAUCACUGGGCAUUAGGUCUGGAAAGUAGAGUGGAUGUGGAAAUAUUUUGCACAUACUUAAACGUAUCCAGCCUGCAUCAACACCUGACUCAGGAAUAUGGACCAAGAGUUUUACGUAACUGGUAUUCAGAAGUCAUUGCAUCGUUAUGAAAAAUGCAAGAGUUUGGAGGGAAGGGGGGGGGGGUGAGUUCGUCGACGAGCAUGAGGUAAAAUAUUGCUCAAAAGUCUGUUAACUCCAUCCAUACUGUGAUAAUAACUCUAAUUUGCUUUCCUUCAAACUCCUAACUUAUUUUUCUUAGAGGUUCUACAGUGCAUGAAAAAGGGGAUCUUUGAAGGAGAGGUAAGCGUAAGAAAUCCUGGAUAUCUCUGCAAUGCGAUGACCAAUUUUAAAAAAACAAUAGCUUCUUGGAAAGCUGAAAGUAUGUUGAACGCUGGUUUGGCUAUUUCUCUUGCAUUGAUGGCUCUUCAGAAUAAAAUAG
This 1518-nucleotide long non-coding RNA is filed under the name Bemisia tabaci. RNAcentral's name for it is "lncRNA ENSSSA1NGG013277". Lineage: Eukaryota; Metazoa; Arthropoda; Insecta; Hemiptera; Aleyrodidae. The record is from RNAcentral.